CUCUGGUAAUCGACAGCCUCCAGCUGUCUCUCUUCUUUCAGUCUCAUCCUCAUCAGAGAAGACGAAACUUCAUCUAUACAAACUUGUCUUCGUCCUUCGAAAAUCCGGUCUCGUUGUCUUCAUUGCUCAAAGAUUCUCUCUCAUCAUUGAUUCGGUCUUGUCGUCAUUUUGGUCUCAUCGUCACUCGAAGAUCCAGUCGCAUUGUCACUCGACGAAGAUGCUUUCCUGUCUUCGUCAAUUUGUCUGUACGAUUUCCUUUUUGGAGUUGUGCUGAUUUCUGUUGUUUGAAUUUCUGCUUUGUUAUUUCACAGGAUGGCAAGCUUCAUUCUCCUAAAAUGAUCAUUUGGAUAUAGCAAAGUGCUUAAACGAAUCCAAAGAGGGGUACCUUUCUUUCUUUUUUAAUAUUUUUUCUUGUUUUAUUGGGCAUUCUCAAGUUUUAGUCUGCAUCUCUCGUAGCACUCUAUUAUGAAGACAGACUCUCGGUAAAACUUCUAGAGUGCUCAAUCAGGAUCCGUCCCAAGUUGGCAAGAAGUUGUUGGAGCCCGUCAACAUGAGUUUCUUUCAACCUUCAUACUUAGAUUGUUAUACUGCCAAACUUCCUUCCAUUCUUUGAGGUGUAUUAAAUGACUAAUUUUAGUGACAAAUGAUAAGUUUUCAUACUGGCGUUUUUCGCUAAUCUGCUGUAUACUCUGCUAGCAUGUGGGAUGAUCCUUUUAAUUUGUGAAAUGAAGUACGUGUAGAGUAUUUGCUUACUUGGAUCCAUGCUGGGGGAUUCAUCCUUCAACCAAACGGUUAGUAUGGGAGUUCUUGUUGGGUUGCUUUGAUCCCGAGAGCACCUUUGAUGAACGAACUCAACUGAGGCAACGCAGGAGGAUUUAAAAAAAGAAAAUGAAAGUCAAAACAUGGCUUCCGAUAUUGGCAGUGGAAAGAAAAUUACAGCAGCUAUUGCGUCCGAUGAUGGGCAAACAUUACAAGAUUCUUCAGCAAACAAUGAUUCACAAGAUCAGGAUUGGCAAGUAAAUAGUGCUAUUUCCAACAAAAAAGUGCUUCAAUGGAUGCUCUGCUUGCCUCAAAUUGGAUAGCAGGAGCUCCAGAACACAAGGAAUCAUCCCAAUGACAUGCCCAAUAAUCUCAUCAGUGUAGUAAACGACAAACAGCUAAAGCAGUAUAGAAAGUUUGAGAAAAACUGCGUAGUGUGGAGUUUUUCUUGUAGCAACUGUUGUUGACACUAAAAAUAAGAAACUUUUUUAAGGAGGCCAAGGGGUCUGGAUGAUGUUGUCAAGGUCUUUCCCUCGUUUUUAAAACAUUCGUAACACUUCCCCCGUCUGUUGACAUACUGGAAUUUGUUUGAAGAAGCUUUUACAAUUGAUCUUUUCUAGUAAAUUAAACAAUAAUUUGGAUCCUCUCUUGAUUAGAAUU
Mangifera indica (mango) is the source of this 1419-nucleotide long non-coding RNA. RefSeq lists it as uncharacterized. The transcript is spliced from 3 exons. Lineage: Eukaryota; Viridiplantae; Streptophyta; Magnoliopsida; Sapindales; Anacardiaceae. The record is from RefSeq and is a predicted model, not a curated record.